This 593-nucleotide ribosomal RNA is filed under the name uncultured marine eukaryote. RNAcentral's name for it is "SSU rRNA". It matches the Rfam family "Eukaryotic small subunit ribosomal RNA", at positions 1 to 598 of the family's 1831-position model. The record is from RNAcentral.
AACCUGGUUGAUCCUGCGCAGUAGUCAUAUGCGUUGUCUCAAAGACUAAGCCAUGCAUGUCUAAGUAUAAGUAUUAUACAGCGAAACUGCGAAUGGCUCAUUAAAACAGUUAUAGUUUAUUUGAUAAUCGAAUUUACAUGGAUAACCGUGGUAAUUCUAGAGCUAAUACAUGCUGGUAUGCCCAACUUUUCGGAAGGGCGGUAUUUAUUAGAUAACAAGCCAAUAUUCCUCUGGUCUAUUGUGGUGACUCAUAAUAACUGAUCGAAUCGCAAAGCCUAUGGCUGCGAUAAGUCAUUCAAGUUUCUGCCCCAUCAGCUUUCGAUGGUAGUGUAUUGGACUACCAUGGCGUUUACGGGUAACGGAGGAUUAGGGUUCGAUUCCGGAGAGGGAGCCUGAGAAACGGCUACCACAUCUAAGGAAGGCAGCAGGCGCGUAAAUUACCCAAUCCUGACUCAGGGAGGUAGUGACAAGAAAUAACGGACCGGGGCCUUACGGCUUCGGGAUUGCAAUGAGCCGAAUUUACACCCCUUAGCGAAGAUCGAUUGGAGGGCAAGUCUGGUGCCAGCAGCCGCGGUAAUUCCAGCUCCAAUAGC